Long non-coding RNA from Physeter macrocephalus (sperm whale), 3379 nucleotides. RefSeq lists it as uncharacterized. Lineage: Eukaryota; Metazoa; Chordata; Mammalia; Artiodactyla; Physeteridae. The record is from RefSeq and is a predicted model, not a curated record. The transcript has 8 exons.
AGAAGACCUCGGCACCGUGGCCUCAGGGCCACGCAGAAGAUGCCUGCCCUUCCAGAUCCUUCAGUGGGGGGCAAAGGCUUUCAUUCCUCCAGCAGAGACGGGGCUGCAGUGCGAACCAGAGCUUCCUGACCUCUGUGCCAGUUGUCAGUGUAUCGGCAAACUGGCCCCCUCAGGGGUCGGGCACCUCGGCAGGACCUGGAGCCUCCCUCCUCGUCCCUCUCCGCGGUCCCUGAGGUGGUACAGGUAUUACCGUUCCCUGUGACAGCCAUGACAUGCAGACAGCCUAAAUGGCAGCAGACCGUCCUAGGGAGGAGAUUCUGGUGAGGAUGGGCCCCGGUUCCGCCAGAGGCAUCUCCGCCCCUCAGCUUUUUAGCCAGAGCAUCACUGCCCGCUGGCUGGCGGGGCGGCCGGGUGCAGGCCUGGGGGCUCUGCUCCAUGCCCGGCGCGCCGGGCGGACCUGAGCCCUGUGGGCCCCACUGAGCUUUAGAAGUGGCAAGUUCCCCCAUCGUUCUAACCACUCCAGAAUCCUCCCUGGCCGCUUUUCUUUUUCUGCACCUUCACCUUCACCCAAGGGUAGAGUUGGCCUCAGCCAGCAUCAGGCCCUCGCCCUUCUCUGGCCCUGUGCUGGGAGCUCAGAAGCAGGUGUGGGGAGCCCGUGGCUGUGGGGCACGGCCUCCCGUUAGCACGCCGCAGCAAGACUCCAGAACUGACAACCACGCUCGGCUUUGGGGGGUUUACAAAACACAUCCCGCCCCCCAAAAUUGCAGGGAUAUUUUAAAAUUCAAAUGGGUUAUAUUUUCUAAGCAAGAGCUACAUCGCUUUCCCCAAAGCAGUUUUCAGACAUUUCAAAAACGUUAGCUGGUGAGUCAGAAAUCUCCUUCUACUCUUUCUGUUUUCUCUCGCUCUGAAAAUACAUAUGUAUGUGCACAGAAGCACACGUCACGCUUGGAGGCGUAUCUUCUAGGAUGUAAGUAACAAAGGAAAGAGCGUGGUGCUUGGAAGAGACGGGUCUGUGCUCUGCAUCCCGGCACAGCGUUUAGCACGUUGUUACGUACCGAGCGUCUGUUGCCUGCACGUGCCCCCUCGUCUUCCCCUGUGCUCGCUGACCUGACCCGCGAGGCCGCUGGGCGGACUUCCCGCGCUCGCGCCACGUGCUUGGAGAGUUCCCAAGGCCGGCAAGUCAAAUGUUGCGGCCAGGUCAUCGCCUGUGUCCAGCAAAACGAGUUCGUAUCCAUUUAGGCCUGUUUUACUGCCCUUUGUAACAACUAUUGCCAAGGAGAAACGAGCAGGUUUGGGUACCACAAGGCAAAAUAAUAUUUGAAAUUUUAACAUAUGCUUAUUUCUGAAUAUUGUCAGCGCCCUGUUGUGAUUUGGGGACUUGUGUGUUAGUCUUCGAUCCUUCUCGCACAGAGUCCCGGAGGACCGGCUGCCCUGGCCUCGGCCUCGGGGUGCGCGGUCUCACUCCCCGUGCACAGAGGCGGCGUCCUUUGCACACGGCGAGGCUGAGCGGAGGCUCCGAGCCCGUGUGGCCUGAGACAUUCCAUCGCAGAGGCUCUCCUAGCAACAUGGCGACGCCAGCACACCCAACAAUGACCUUUUGUCGUUAGCUCUGUGAAGCCGGUGGCGUGAGUCUCACCAGAAAAUUCAAAGGAUAUUUUGCAAGCGAAGAGCGAUUUCCAGCUGAAGCUUUGAAUCGGUUGCUUCUCCUCCUAUCUGCAAAUAUCAAACUGGACCGGCACCAGAUUGUCGCUUCAAGAGCAGGACGUACCCAAAGAGCAGCCCAUAUGAAAGCAUUUCUGCAGGUAUUUCAUUAUUGAAACAAUCCAGCCGCUCAAUUGUGGAGUCGUGUUAGAAGGCUCUCAACUUGCAUUCUUCCGGCAAUCAGCCCACAGUUGGAUACCACGUCACCAAAAGAGUCAGCAGCCAAUGCCGUGUAAUAAUUUUGUGAAGAUUUGUUUAGUUAAAACUAGAUGAUAUCAUUUGGCAUAUUCCAAUGCACCGAGAAGAGCUCCCUGCAAGUGUUACAAGAUGCUGAAAGCAGGGGUGGCUUUGUCCCUUUCUUUCCUGCUGUGGAAUUAGGACUCUGUUUUCCACUGGACCGGAAAUAAGAAGAAAAAUGAAAGCGGAUCCACAAGCCAGGUCUGGUUUUAAUCAGAGCAUAAUCUUUAUGAGACAACGCAAGGCUGAGAAUUUUUUAAUCUGAUAUUUUGAAAGAAAAAUCCGUGUUCCAAAAUGAUACAAACCAAUCAGCCUUAGAAGAACGAUGGAAAAAAGAAAUCUCUUGCAUAAAAGAGAAGCAGGAAAUUCCAGAGAAGUUUCACAGGGAGGAGGGGAAAACCCAAGGUGUAAAGAUAAUUCAGAAGAAAAUACAAUGUUUUCAACUAACGCAGAUGAAACAGUUGGAUAUUCUUAUGCAAAAAAUGAUUCCAGUCCAAUCCUGGCACUUGUACGAAAAGCAGCGGGCCAGGGCACCCAGCUAAGGAAACUCCAGGCCGUGAGAAGCCACUGGAAGGCUGUGAGCAGGAGGAUGACAUUGUGACACGACCAAAGAUUCCAUAUGAUAUCACUUAUAAGUGGGAUCUUCAAAAAUGUAUGUUUUUAAUAAACUAAAACCUACGAUUAAUUCUGAGUGCUGAGUCAGGAUUGAAAACCAUGGGUAGGCGGAGGCUGGAAAUAAACCGGAAGGCAGUGCAAGAAUCAUCACCCCAUCUUACAGAUAAGAAAACAGGCCACAUCCAGCCGAAUCCCCCAACAGUGCUAAUGAGUGGGCUGAGUCCUCUGCUCUCAGGUGGCUUAACGCUCGCGUAGCAGCAAAGAGAAUUCAGCAAACACUCAGCUCCCACGUCCACUGCAAAUGGAGAAGUGCUCUGUGCCUUGCUUUUACCUUAAAGAGUCGGCUGGACUUCCCUGGUGGCGCAGUGGUUAAGAAUCCGCCUGCCCUUGCAGGGGACACGGGUUCCAGCCCUGGUCCGGGAAGAUCCCACAUGUUGUGGAGCAACCAAGCCCGUGCGCCACGACUACCGAGCCUGCGCUCUAGAGCCCGUGCUCCGCAACAAGAGAAGCCACCGCAAGCACAAGCCUGUGCACCGCAAUGAAGAGGAGCCCCCGCUCGCCGCAACUAGAGGAAGCCCGCGUGCAGCAACGAAGACCCAACGCCGCCAAAAAUAAAUAAAUUUAUUUUUUAAAAAGAGGUGGCAGGGCUUCCCUGGCGGCACAGUGGUUGAGAAUCCGCCUGUUGACGCAGGGUAAACGGGUUCGCGCCCCGGUCCGGGAGGAUCCCACGUGCCGCGGAGCGGCUGGGCCCGUGAGCCGUGGCCGCUGAGCCUGCGCGUCCGGAGCCUGUGCUCCGCAACGGGAGAGGCCGCAACAGUGAGAGGCC